UAUCAGGUUGAGACCAUCAGUUCCUGUACGAUCCCCGAAGUUAAGCAACGUCGAGUCUAUUCAGUACUUAGAUGGGUGAUCGCUUGGGAAUACCGGGUGUUGUAGG
Acanthosepion pharaonis is the source of this 106-nucleotide non-coding RNA. NCBI's taxonomy places the organism in Eukaryota, Metazoa, Mollusca, Cephalopoda, Sepiida, Sepiidae. The record is from the annotation of a GenBank genome assembly.